RNAcentral lists this ribosomal RNA (459 nucleotides) under uncultured bacterium. Its description in RNAcentral is "partial 16S ribosomal RNA". It matches the Rfam family "Bacterial small subunit ribosomal RNA", at positions 338 to 795 of the family's 1533-position model. The record is from RNAcentral.
CCUACGGGCGGCAGCAGUGAGGAAUAUUGGUCAAUGGGCGCGAGCCUGAACCAGCCAAGUCGCGUGAGGGAAGACGGUCCUAUGGAUUGUAAACCUCUUUUGUCGGGGAGCAAAAGACGCCACGCGUGGCGUUCCGCGAGUACCCGAAGAAAAAGCAUCGGCUAACUCCGUGCCAGCAGCCGCGGUAAUACGGAGGAUGCGAGGGUUAUCCGGAUUUAUUGGGUUUAAAGGGUGCGCAGGCGGAUGUUCACGUCGGCGGUAAAAUUGAGGGGCUCAACCUCUUCGAGCCGUUGAAACUGGUUUUCUUGAGUGAGCGAGAGGUAUGCGGAAUGCGUGGUGUAGCGGUGAAAUGCAUAGAUAUCACGAAGAACUCCGAUUGCGAAGGCAGCAUACCGGCGCUCAACUGACGCUCAUGCACGAAAGUGUGGGUAUCGAACAGGAUUAGAUACCCUUGUAGUC